UACGUAGGGUGCGAGCGUUGUCCGGAAUUAUUGGGCGUAAAGAGCUUGUAGGCGGUCUGUCGCGUCUGCUGUGAAAAUCCGGGGCUCAACCCCGGACUUGCAGUGGGUACGGGCAGACUAGAGUGUGGUAGGGGAGAUUGGAAUUCCUGGUGUAGCGGUGGAAUGCGCAGAUAUCAGGAGGAACACCAAUGGCGAAGGCAGAUCUCUGGGCCGUAACUGACGCUGAGGAGCGAAAGCAUGGGGAGCGAACAGG
This 253-nucleotide ribosomal RNA is filed under the name uncultured bacterium. RNAcentral describes it as "partial 16S ribosomal RNA". It matches the Rfam family "Bacterial small subunit ribosomal RNA", at positions 524 to 776 of the family's 1533-position model. The record is from RNAcentral.